AGGACGAACGCUGGCGGCGUGCUUAACACAUGCAAGUCGAGCGGAAAGGCCCUUCGGGGUACUCGAGCGGCGAACGGGUGAGUAACACGUGAGCAAUCUGCCCUUAGCUUCGGGAUAGCCCCGGGAAACCGGGAUUAAUACCGAAUAUGACUUCGGCCGACAUCGGCUGCGGUGGAAAGUUUUUCGGCUAGGGAUGAGCUCGCGGCCUAUCAGCUAGUUGGUGGGGUAAUGGCCUACCAAGGCGACGACGGGUAGCCGGCCUGAGAGGGCGACCGGCCACACUGGGACUGAGACACGGCCCAGACUCCUACGGGAGGCAGCAGUGGGGAAUAUUGCGCAAUGGGCGAAAGCCUGACGCAGCGACGCCGCGUGGGGGAUGAAUGCCUUCGGGUUGUAAACCCCUUUCAGCAGGGACGAAGCGAAAGUGACGGUACCUGCAGAAGAAGCGCCGGCUAACUACGCGCCAGCAGCCGC
Molecule: ribosomal RNA, 474 nt
Filed under: uncultured bacterium
Lineage: Bacteria
Description: SSU rRNA
Rfam family: Bacterial small subunit ribosomal RNA
Source: RNAcentral